This 205-nucleotide long non-coding RNA is filed under the name Trifolium pratense (red clover). RNAcentral describes it as "long non-coding RNA (TPRA_LNC005193)". The record is from RNAcentral. Lineage: Eukaryota; Viridiplantae; Streptophyta; Magnoliopsida; Fabales; Fabaceae.
CUUCAUUCUCAUUCAAGGAUGUCUCAACAUCUUGCAUGACAACCUCUUCAGUAACAACAGGGGUUGAUUUUUCAGCCAUCAUCUCAGCAAUUGUGGGUGAUUCAUUAGCAGUUUCCGUUUCAACCUUUGUAGGAGUGUCUUCCUUCUCAGUUUCAACAGGCAUAGAAUUAAGAUCUCUUUUUUCAGCUUCAGACCCCAAUUUUUC